RNAcentral lists this ribosomal RNA (610 nucleotides) under Suhomyces rilaensis. RNAcentral describes it as "eukaryotic LSU rRNA". It matches the Rfam family "Eukaryotic large subunit ribosomal RNA", at positions 38 to 668 of the family's 3401-position model. The record is from RNAcentral. Lineage: Eukaryota; Fungi; Ascomycota; Pichiomycetes; Serinales; Debaryomycetaceae.
GCAUAUCAAUAAGCGGAGGAAAAGAAACCAACAGGGAUUGCCUCAGUAACGGCGAGUGAAGCGGCAAAAGCUCAAAUUUGAAAUCUGGCCUCUUUGAGGUCCGAGUUGUAAUUUGAAGAAGCGACUCUGGUACCGGCCCUUGUCUAUGUUCCUUGGAACAGGACGUCACAGAGGGUGAGAAUCCCGUGCGAUGAGGGUGCCGGGUGCCAUGUAGAGCGUUUUCGACGAGUCGAGUUGUUUGGGAAUGCAGCUCUAAGUGGGUGGUAAAUUCCAUCUAAAGCUAAAUAUUGGCGAGAGACCGAUAGCGAACAAGUACAGUGAUGGAAAGAUGAAAAGAACUUUGAAAAGAGAGUGAAAAAGUACGUGAAAUUGUUGAAAGGGAAGGGCUUGGGAUCAGACAUUGUAUUUCCAUGGCGCUCUUUCGGGGGUGUCCUCUGGGUUUACAGGGCCAGCAUGGGUUCUGCGGGCAAGACGAGGGCUCCAGGAAUGUGACUCUGCUGCGGCGGAGUGUUAUAGCCUGGGGACGCCGGUUGCCACGCGGGACUGAGGACUGCGAAUUCUAGGAUGCUGGCAUAAUGAUCUUAAGUCGCCCGUCUUGAAACACGGACCA